This 492-nucleotide ribosomal RNA is filed under the name uncultured bacterium. Its description in RNAcentral is "partial 16S ribosomal RNA". It matches the Rfam family "Bacterial small subunit ribosomal RNA", at positions 29 to 507 of the family's 1533-position model. The record is from RNAcentral.
AGUGAACGCUGGCGGUAGGCCUAACACAUGCAAGUCGAACGGCAGCACAGUAAGAGCUUGCUCUUACGGGUGGCGAGUGGCGGACGGGUGAGGAAUACAUCGGAAUCUACUUUUUCGUGGGGGAUAACGUAGGGAAACUUACGCUAAUACCGCAUACGACCUACGGGUGAAAGCAGGGGAUCUUCGGACCUUGCGCGAUUGAAUGAGCCGAUGUCGGAUUAGCUAGUUGGCGGGGUAAAGGCCCACCAAGGCGACGAUCCGUAGCUGGUCUGAGAGGAUGAUCAGCCACACUGGAACUGAGACACGGUCCAGACUCCUACGGGAAGCAGCAGUGGGGAAUAUUGGACAAUGAGCGCAAGCCUGAUCCAGACAUACCGCGUAGGUGAAGAAGGCCUUCGGGUUGUAAAGCCCUUUUGUUGGGAAAGAAAAGCAGCAGGUUAAUACCCCGCUGUUCUGACGGUACCCAAAGAAUAAGCACCGGCUAACUUCGUG